CAAUUUAAACAACGAAGAGUUUGAUCCUGGCUCAGGAUNAACGCUAGCGACAGGCUUAACACAUGCAAGUCGAGGGGCACGCGCGRGUAGCAAUACCGNGNGCUGGCNACCGGCGCACGGGUGAGUAACGCGUAUGCAACUUGCCUAUCAGAGGGGGAUAACCCGGCGAAAGUCGGACUAAUACCGCAUGAAGCAGGGAUCCCGCAUGGGAAUAUUUGCUAAAGAUUCAUCGCUNAUAGAUAGGCAUGCGUUCCAUUAGGCAGUUGGCGGGGUAACGGCCCACCAAACCGACGAUGGAUAGGGGUUCUGAGAGGAAGGUCCCCCACAUUGGUACUGAGACACGGACCAAACUCCUACGGGAGGCAGCAGUGAGGAAUAUUGGUCAAUGGCCGAGAGGCUGAACCAGCCAAGUCGCGUGAGGGAUGAAGGUUCUAUGGAUCGUAAACCUCUUUUAUAAGGGAAUAAAGUGCGGGACGUGUCCNGUUUUGUAUGUACCUUAUGAAUAAGGAUCGGCUAACUCCGUGCCAGCAGCCGCGGUAAUACGGAGGAUCCGAGCGUUAUCCGGAUUUAUUGGGUUUAAAGGGUGCGUAGGCGGCCUUUUAAGUCAGCGGUGAAAGUCUGUGGCUCAACCAUAGAAUUGCCGUUGAAACUGGGGNGCUUGAGUAUGUUUGAGGCAGGCGGAAUGCGUGGUGUAGCGGUGAAAUGCAUAGAUAUCACGCAGAACCCCGAUUGCGAAGGCAGCCUGCCAAGCCAUUACUGACGCUGAUGCACGAAAGCGUGGGGAUCAAACAGGAUUAGAUACCCUGGUAGUCCACGCAGUAAACGAUGAUCACUAGCUGUUUGCGAUACACUGUAAGCGGCACAGCGAAAGCGUUAAGUGAUCCACCUGGGGAGUACGCCGGCAACGGUGAAACUCAAAGGAAUUGACGGGNGCCNGCACAAGCGGAGGAACAUGUGGUUUAAUUCGAUGAUACGCGAGGAACCUUACCCGGGUUUGAACGCAUUCGGACCGAGGUGGAAACACCUUUUCUAGCAAUAGCCGUUUGCGAGGUGCUGCAUGGUUGUCGUCAGCUCGUGCCGUGAGGUGUCGGCUUAAGUGCCAUAACGAGCGCAACCCUUGCCACUAGUUACUAACAGGUUAGGCUGAGGACUCUGGUGGNACUGCCAGCGUAAGCUGCGAGGAAGGCGGGGAUGACGUCAAAUCAGCACGGCCCUUACAUCCGGGGCGACACACGUGUUACAAUGGCGUGGACAAAGGGAGGCCACCUGGCGACAGGGAGCGAAUCCCCAAACCACGUCUCAGUUCGGAUCGGAGUCUGCAACCCGACUCCGUGAAGCUGGAUUCGCUAGUAAUCGCGCAUCAGCCAUGGCGCGGUGAAUACGUUCCCGGGCCUUGUACACACCGCCCGUCAAGCCAUGGGAGCCGGGGGUACCUGAAGUCCGUAACCGAAAGGAUCGGCCUAGGGUAAAACUGGUGACUGGGGCUAAGNNGUAACAAGNNNNNNGUACCGGAAGNNNNNNNNNGAACACCUCCUUUCU
This 1539-nucleotide ribosomal RNA is filed under the name Parabacteroides distasonis. RNAcentral describes it as "bacterial SSU rRNA". It matches the Rfam family "Bacterial small subunit ribosomal RNA". RNAcentral also lists the same sequence under 1 other name. Lineage: Bacteria; Pseudomonadati; Bacteroidota; Bacteroidia; Bacteroidales; Tannerellaceae. The record is from RNAcentral.